GGGGAGUACGGCCGCAAGGUUAAAACUCAAAUGAAUUGACGGGGGCCCGCACAAGCGGUGGAGCAUGUGGUUUAAUUCGAUGCAACGCGAAGAACCUUACCUGGUCUUGACAUCCACAGAACUUUCCAGAGAUGGAUUGGUGCCUUCGGGAACUGUGAGACAGGUGCUGCAUGGCUGUCGUCAGCUCGUGUUGUGAAAUGUUGGGUUAAGUCCCGCAACGAGCGCAACCCUUAUCCUUUGUUGCCAGCGGU
This 251-nucleotide ribosomal RNA is filed under the name Klebsiella pneumoniae. Its description in RNAcentral is "partial 16S ribosomal RNA". It matches the Rfam family "Bacterial small subunit ribosomal RNA", at positions 875 to 1125 of the family's 1533-position model. Lineage: Bacteria; Pseudomonadati; Pseudomonadota; Gammaproteobacteria; Enterobacterales; Enterobacteriaceae. The record is from RNAcentral.